RNAcentral lists this ribosomal RNA (429 nucleotides) under Chloroflexota bacterium. RNAcentral describes it as "Chloroflexi bacterium partial 16S ribosomal RNA". It matches the Rfam family "Bacterial small subunit ribosomal RNA", at positions 355 to 776 of the family's 1533-position model. Lineage: Bacteria; Bacillati; Chloroflexota. The record is from RNAcentral.
UGGGGAAUAUUGCACAAUGGGCGCAAGCCUGAUGCAGCCACGCCGCGUGUAUGAAGAAGGCCUUCGGGUUGUAAAGUACUUUCAGUCGGGAGGAAGGUGGUAAGGUUAAUAACCUUAUCAAUUGACGUUACCGACAGAAGAAGCACCGGCUAACUCCGUGCCAGCAGCCGCGGUAAUACGGAGGGUGCAAGCGUUAAUCGGAAUUACUGGGCGUAAAGCGCACGCAGGCGGUUGAUUGAGUCAGAUGUGAAAUCCCCGGGCUUAACCCGGGAAUUGCAUCUGAUACUGGUCAGCUAGAGUCUUGUAGAGGGGGGUAGAAUUCCAUGUGUAGCGGUGAAAUGCGUAGAGAUGUGGAGGAAUACCGGUGGCGAAGGCGGCCCCCUGGACAAAGACUGACGCUCAGGUGCGAAAGCGUGGGGAGCAAACAGG